Microtus oregoni (creeping vole) is the source of this 369-nucleotide non-coding RNA. NCBI's taxonomy places the organism in Eukaryota, Metazoa, Chordata, Mammalia, Rodentia, Cricetidae. The record is from the annotation of a RefSeq genome assembly.
AUGACCUCAGUCACUAAUCUGGGGUUGCUGCUGCUCUGGCUUACAGGUGCCAGAUGUGAAAUCCAGAUGACCCAGUCUCCAGCCUCCCUGCCCGUGUCUCUGGGAAACAGUUUAACCAUCAAAUGCCAGGCAAGUCAAGACAUAUACAAUCAUUUAGCAUGGUAUCAGCAGAAACCAGGGAAAUCUCCCAAGCUCCUGAUCUAUGCUGCAAACAGCUUGGUAAAUGAGGUCCCAUCGAGGUUCAGUGGCAGUGGAUCUGGCACAGAGUAUUCUUUCAAGAUUGGUGGCCUGCAGUCAGAAGAUGUUGCAACUUAUUACUGUAUACAAUAUAAAUAUACGCCUCCCACAGUGAUACAAGCUAGGACAUAA